Molecule: unclassified non-coding RNA, 588 nt
Filed under: Phoma herbarum
Lineage: Eukaryota; Fungi; Ascomycota; Dothideomycetes; Pleosporales; Didymellaceae
Description: sequence contains 28S rRNA gene
Rfam family: Eukaryotic large subunit ribosomal RNA
Source: RNAcentral
UCAGGUAGGGAUACCCGCUGAACUUAAGCAUAUCAAUAAGCGGAGGAAAAGAAACCAACAGGGAUUGCCCUAGUAACGGCGAGUGAAGCGGCAACAGCUCAAAUUUGAAAUCUGGCGUCUUUGGCGUCCGAGUUGUAAUUUGCAGAGGGCGCUUUGGCAUUGGCAGCGGUCCAAGUUCCUUGGAACAGGACGUCACAGAGGGUGAGAAUCCCGUACGUGGUCGCUAGCCUUUACCGUGUAAAGCCCCUUCGACGAGUCGAGUUGUUUGGGAAUGCAGCUCUAAAUGGGAGGUAAAUUUCUUCUAAAGCUAAAUACUGGCCAGAGACCGAUAGCGCACAAGUAGAGUGAUCGAAAGAUGAAAAGCACUUUGGAAAGAGAGUUAAAAAGCACGUGAAAUUGUUGAAAGGGAAGCGCUUGCAGCCAGACUUGCCUGUAGUUGCUCAUCCGGGUUUUUACCCGGUGCACUCUUCUAUAGGCAGGCCAGCAUCAGUUUGGGCGGUUGGAUAAAGGUCUCUGUCAUGUACCUCUCUUCGGGGAGAACUUAUAGGGGAGACGACAUGCAACCAGCCUGGACUGAGGUCCGCGCAU